This 47-nucleotide non-coding RNA is filed under the name Vibrio cincinnatiensis. RNAcentral describes it as "Guanidine-II sequence". It matches the Rfam family "Guanidine-II riboswitch aptamer (mini-ykkC)". From Rfam's summary of the family: Simpler in structure and has fewer highly conserved nucleotide positions than the ykkC-yxkD leader. Despite this each of its two stem-loop structures directly bind free guanidine. Lineage: Bacteria; Pseudomonadati; Pseudomonadota; Gammaproteobacteria; Vibrionales; Vibrionaceae. The record is from RNAcentral.
AAGUAAGGACGACCUUACCGCUCUAUUUCCAUAAGGGGACGGCCCCA